This is a long non-coding RNA of Xiphophorus hellerii (green swordtail), 429 nucleotides long. RefSeq lists it as uncharacterized. The transcript has 2 exons. The record is from RefSeq and is a predicted model, not a curated record. Lineage: Eukaryota; Metazoa; Chordata; Actinopteri; Cyprinodontiformes; Poeciliidae.
GAAACAUCUUCAGAGGCGACAGGAACACCAUGUCUGGGCUGCUGGAGGUUUCUGGGAGGAUUUGUCCUGACGGAGAGGAAGGAGGCGACGUGGAGACGGUUUGAAUCCAACCUGAAAGGUUUAGACGCGUUCAGAACCAACCCGGCCGAUUCGGGCCGUGAACUCCUCCGACCCUUGGCCAGCAGACACUCGAAGAAACGCUGAGACGUCCCAGAGGAUUUUUAAACCUUCAUCAACCGUUUCUACAGUCUGGAGAGAAGAACAUUCAACCUGUAACAGCAGCCUCCAUACUGAGGACGUUUAACAAACAUUAAAUGAUAGUAAACUUAAUUCAGCCGCAAAAACUUUUUUUUUUUUUUAAAUCUUGACUUUCAAUUUGAAAACACGACCGCAGGAAACUGGCUUCAAUAAAAAUGUAACACAUCUACA